CGGAGAUUUGUGAUUGCUCUUUCUCCUCAGUAACAGCAGCCAUCCCUUUAUUCAAGACCUGAGAGGCCACAUUAUCUUUGGAGGAGGCUGGACAGCAUGAGUCGAAGGCUCUAGAGAAGAUUGAGAAUGUUCCAAAAGUCUACCACCACACUACUUUGGAAAGGCCAAGGGUAAACAGCUUCAGGGCAUGCCCACGUGGACUAGGACGGAAAAUAGUCCUUUUCAACCACAGAGAAAAGUGCAGCCUGCUCUUGCCAGUGUGGGGAGACAGAUCUUCCAGCUGGAUCACCCUUACUCCUCUUCAGGAUCGAAGGAUCCCUACCCAGACACUGUGUGAAAAGGCCUGGGUUAGCCUGCAGGAACGUGAGGAGAUUGUGUAAAGCAGCAACAAACCAGCCAAGCUGAGACCACCCUAGAGCUCCCAGUCAAUCCAGCAGACUCGUGACCGAGCCUAGCCAAGACCAGAAGAACUGCCCAGCAAAGCUCAGCCCAAACUGCCGACCCAC
RNAcentral lists this long non-coding RNA (506 nucleotides) under Equus caballus (horse). RNAcentral describes it as "lncRNA (ENSECAG00000049981.1)". Lineage: Eukaryota; Metazoa; Chordata; Mammalia; Perissodactyla; Equidae. The record is from RNAcentral.